GAUGAACGCUAGCUACAGGCUUAACCCAUGCAAGUCGAGGGACCGGCUCACGGGUGAGUAACAAGUAUCCAACCUGCCCUUUACUCGGGGAUAGCCUUUCGAAAGAAAGAUUAAUACCCGAUGUUAAGGAUGGGGCUGCGUUCCAUUAGGUUGUUGGUGAGGUAACGGCUCACCAAGCCUUCGAUGGAUAGGGGUUCUGAGAGGAAGUGCCCCCACAUUGGAACUGAGACACGGUCCAAACUCCUACGGGAGGCAGCAGUGAGGAAUAUUGGUCAAUGGGCGUUAGCCUGAACCAGCCAAGUAGCGUGAAGGAUGAAGGCUUAUGGGUCGUAAACUUCUUUUAUAUAAGAAUAUGUAUUAUAUGAAUAAGGAUCGGCUAACUCCGUGCCAGCAGCCGCGGUAAUUC
This 406-nucleotide ribosomal RNA is filed under the name uncultured bacterium. RNAcentral describes it as "partial 16S ribosomal RNA". It matches the Rfam family "Bacterial small subunit ribosomal RNA", at positions 28 to 526 of the family's 1533-position model. The record is from RNAcentral.